GAUGAACGCUGGCGGCGUGCUUAACACAUGCAAGUCGAACGAAGCCGUUGUUUAGAGACCUUCGGGUGGAAGAAUGACAGACUGAGUGGCGGACGGGUGAGUAACGCGUGGGUAACCUACCUUGCACAGGGGGACAACAGUUGGAAACGACUGCUAACACCGCAUAAGACCACAGUACCGCAUGGUACAGGGGUAAAAACUGAGGUGGUGCAAGAUGGACCCGCGUCUGAUUAGCUAGUUGGUGGGGUAAAGGCCUACCAAGGCGACGAUCAGUAGCCGACCUGAGAGGGUGAUCGGCCACAUUGGGACUGAGACACGGCCCAAACUCCUACGGGAGGCAGCAGUGGGGAAUAUUGGACAAUGGGGGGAACCCUGAUCCAGCGACGCCGCGUGAGUGAAGAAGUAUUUCGGUAUGUAAAGCUCUAUCAGCAGGGAAGAAAAUGACGGUACCUGACUAAGAAGCCCCGGCUAACUGCGUGU
This 480-nucleotide ribosomal RNA is filed under the name uncultured bacterium. RNAcentral's name for it is "bacterial SSU rRNA". It matches the Rfam family "Bacterial small subunit ribosomal RNA", at positions 28 to 508 of the family's 1533-position model. The record is from RNAcentral.